This is a non-coding RNA of Pelodiscus sinensis (Chinese soft-shelled turtle), 938 nucleotides long. NCBI's taxonomy places the organism in Eukaryota, Metazoa, Chordata, Testudines, Trionychidae. The record is from RefSeq and is a predicted model, not a curated record.
CAGGAUACAGGGCUGGAUGGACUUCUUAUGUUCUUAUGUCCACUGAAGUUAGGAAAAGAAGUAAUCAAUUUAACUUGCAGCAAGGAAGAUUUAAGUUACGUGUCAGGAAAAUCUUUUGAACUGUAAGGAUAGAUAAAUAUUGGAACAGGCUUUCACUAAAUACUGUGUAAUCCCCAUCAUUGGAAGUUUUAAAUAACUAGUUUGACAAACAUCUGUCAGGGAUGAUCUUCGCAUAUUUGGUUCUGCUGAGCAUGUGUAUGUAUGUGUGAAUCAGAUGACUUCUUGACAUCCCUUCCAGACUUCUAUUUCUGUGAUGUCUCCCCUUUUGACUUCCACUCCCUUUUUUUGAGUCAUUCUAGGUAGCCAUCUGGUUGAAAUGUUACUUGGUGGUCUUCCAGUGGAGAACAUCUACACGCUUUCAGGCGUAGAUUGAAGAUCCUAGCACAUCCCCACCCACUGACUGUACUGGUCCACUGACAGAGUUCAGUUCAGCACUGGAUACUGCAGUCUCCUAUUGUGGUGCAGGUCACGUAGCAGUGAAUGAACAAGAUUGCAUGAAUAAUGUGCUCUUUAUUCAGCGAUUGGGUAAAAAUGAAUGCCCUCAACACCUACGUACAUCCAAUCUCCACUGCUUCCUGUGUGCUUAUUCUUCCUGAAGCUUUAAUUAUUUAUCCUUGGAGAGAAUUUGACAGUUACAAGUAGUCACGACUCAGCAGAUUAACCCUACCAGCACCAAGUUUCAUUUCCAUAUCAAGCAGACUCAACUGUGUCUUGGAAUCAAAUGUUAGUUUUGAAGUAAUAUGAUUCCUAAUUAAAAUGAAAGCCAAGCAGGCUUUAAAUGCAAGUUAUUUGUAAAUCUACCAUGCUGCCUUUCAUGAAAUUAAAAUGGAUUUAACAUUAUUGCUAAUUUUAAGAUGAAGACUUGAAAAAUUAAAAAG